RNAcentral lists this long non-coding RNA (561 nucleotides) under Mustela putorius furo (domestic ferret). RNAcentral describes it as "lncRNA (ENSMPUG00000025223.1)". The record is from RNAcentral. Lineage: Eukaryota; Metazoa; Chordata; Mammalia; Carnivora; Mustelidae.
CAUGACUCAGCACCUUGCCUGGCUGGGGACAAGCCAGGCUCAGGACCCACAGAACUCCAGAUUGCGGCUCCAGAUCAGGCAGAAUCAUUUGAGAGGAUUCAUACAGGAGUGAGAACUGCACCACAAGAGGGGAGGCAGAGAGCAUGGACAGAACGUGGAUCGUGGGGGAGAUGUAGUGGAUUCAGGCCUGGAUUUCCUUUCAGUUUUCUUUCAGGUUUCCUUUCAAUAAGAAUGCACUCCACAUGGGGCGCCUGGGUGGCUCAGUGGGUUAAGCCUCUGCCUUCGGCUCAGGUCAUGAUCUCAGGGUCCUGGGAUGGAGUCCCUGCAUCAGGCCCUCUGCUCAGCAGGGAGCCUGCUUCCCCCUCUCUCUGUCUGCUGCUCUGCCUGCUUGUGAUCUCUCUCUCUCUCUCUCUGUCUGUGUCAAGUAAAUAAAUAAAAUCUUAAAAAAAAAAUGCAGUCUACUGGGUGCUCUCCUGGGUUCUCUAGGGUUGAGGCCAUGGAAGGGACUAUUUCUGAAGGCAGGCAGCAGGCUAGAACCAGCCACAUUACCAUCUAGCAAAU